CCCACGCCGCCGCAGCCUCCCCACCUCCGAGAGACGAAACGCUCCGAGACCUCUGCGCUUCGUCAACACGGUGGAGUAUUUGACAUUCACAAUUACCUGUAAAUAUUCUGGCCGUUUUGUGUACGAGACACUUUUUUUUUUUUUUUUUUUUUUUUUUUUUAUCCUUAAGCCUGGUAAGUCUCACCCGAGAGACCAAGUGUAACACUGCCGCACUGCCGGCACCCAGCGAGGCAGGCGGCGAGAGGAGCGCUCCGCUCCCGAGCGCCUUCACAUCCCUCCCCCGGCACUCGAGCGCCCGGAGCGAGAGGAAUGAAUGCUCUGCUGUACCGUGCCCCUCGCUCCGUACCCUAAAACGCAACAACUGAAAACUUGAUUUAAAGCGCUAACAUAAUAGAGAGAUUUCAAAUUAGUGACAGAACAGGAGGUGCCUAUUACUAAACCAUCGGACAAAACAAAUCGGUUCACACACGGGCAGAUUAGGUGCCAGAUUUUCUAACGUAUUUGCAACGGCAGUUCAAAACAGAAAGAUGAGAUCUGAGCUGGUCACUCAACUCCGACAUCUUGCAAUCGGUCUCUAUUUUUUACUUUAACCUCUCCCUUCCCUACCCAUCACAUCAUAAAAAUUAGCAGCGUGGAAUUACCUGUCUGCUUCUCUGAGCCUCCUUCAAGUAAAGAAGGUAAAAGUCACUUCACCUAUUAGCUUGUAUAAGUAAUAAAGAGGUGGUAACUCGGAGCUAGUACAUUUUGAAGAUUGUGUCACAUGCUUUAGCAUAAACAAGGGUGUUAUAGCCCUCGCGAUUACUGGAUCAAUUCAUCUCUGCAACAACUUGUGCCGCUUUCAGUUCUUUGCAGGUAUUUAUUCUGUCCCUGGGCAUAGCUCUGUACAUCCCGACUCGAACAGCAGCAGCCCCUCGGUUUCUGUGGCGUCUCUGCGCAAAAUUGCUAAGGGGAAAGGCGGUUUGUCAGCACCCUGCCCCUCUGCACCAGCCUGUUUUGAACCAGAUCCGAGGGGAUGACUGGGGCUGCAAUUGAGGUGCCAUAUCCCCGCAGCGCGGACAGCAGCCCGAAGACGCAGCGGCUGCCCGGGCGCACACUGUGCGAGCGGCUCCACUCUCCCCUCGCACAACGGGGAGGGAUUUGUUCCAUUUCAGCAAUGUGUUUUUUUUUGUGUGUGUGUGUGUGUUUUUGUUUUUUUUUUUUUUUUUUUUUUCCAGCCCCACGCCUUUUACUAAUGCACUUGCUAGAGAGGUUGCCCAAAAGCGCGGCCACCCUGCCGGGCAGCUGCGGCGGCUUUUCAAAGCGCUGCCCCGCUCCGGCCCGGGGAGGCGUGUGCGCCCGGCCGGGAGAGGAGCGCCCACCUCGGAGGUUUGCUCUGAGCCCCCCGCGCCCCGGCGGCUCCCUCCUCUGUCCCUCAUCUUGCUCUGCUACGCACCCAGUCCGAGCUCGCCCACCCAGCGAUUAGGAAGGAGACGGGGACCUUCCCCAGGCUGCCCCGGGAUGGGGACAGGAGGGUCCCGCUCCUGCCGCCCGGCAGGGAAGGCUCAGCAGUGGCUGGCCUUGCACACUGCCAACCUCGGCGACUGCCCUCGCCACCGGCACAGCGCCGCUGCCCGCGGGGCCCGGAGCAGGACAGGGCGCAGGUGCUGCGGGCCGGGGCGACGACAGCGCGGCGAUAGACAGGGCUGGGAGGUGGCUCCCUUGUCUCCAGCAACCCCCCGACCGCAGGGGCGUCUCAGGCACAGGAAGAGCGCCCGGCGCAGGCCAAGUGCGCAGAACAGGGCACGGGCAGCAGCCCUUCCCAGCGCCGCCCGGGCCUGGCAGAGGCCUCCGGGCAGUGUUCAGAGCCCGGGGAGGAGGCAGCCUGUGCCACCUCCCUCUUUCUGGCGCUCCGCAGACCAAGACGGCUGAGCUGAAGCACCGCCAGGCCGGCGGCCCAAGCCUACCAAACGCCCGGGGCCCUCCCCUUCUUGCAGCAUGCCCCCGGGGCAGGAUCCCCCCUGGCCGCCAUCCUCGGAGUCCGUCGGUUCUCCGCGGGGAACCCAGACGGUGCAAGCAGCAUAACUAACGCCGUCCUUCGCUCGUACUCAUCCUUCUCACACCCCUCGGCUCCCUCCGGCAGACAGACGGCCCUGCUGUUCUGGGCCCGCCGGCAGCCCGCUCACCCGGAUCUACACCGCCUUCGGCAGCUCCCUAGGCAAGAGCCCAGGGAGAGGGCCGGCCCCUUCUGGUGCGGCCUCGGGUGCCUCGCAGCUUGGAAAAGGAAAGGAGAGGAAGUCUGAGGAACAAAGACCACACAUCGCCUCCUGCAAAGGCACUACACAGCCAUGACGAAGUGGCACAUUUAGUUAUUCCUAUCAUCAGCUCAGGUGUUGAAAGCUUCAGUAACGACCUGAGUUUUGGGGUGCCAUGAAAGCUCUCAUUGUUCAUUUUCUGCAGAGUCUCAUCAGCACCACAUUCUCAUGUUCCUGCUACAUUUGUGCAUCUCUACUGCAAUCAAAAAUACAAUUAUUGACA
Molecule: long non-coding RNA, 2514 nt
Organism: Cygnus olor (mute swan)
Lineage: Eukaryota; Metazoa; Chordata; Aves; Anseriformes; Anatidae
Exons: 3
Source: RefSeq, a predicted model, not a curated record